AAUCAACGCUGGCGGCGCGCUUAACACAUGCAAGUCGAGCGAGAAAGGGGAGCAAUCCCUGAGUACAGCGGCGUACGGGUGAGUAACACGUGGGUGAUCUACCUUCUAGUGUGGAAUAACCCUGGGAAACCGGGGCUAAUACCGCAUAAGCCUGUGAAGGGAAGGCAGCAAUGCGCUGGAAGAGGAGCCCGCGGCCGAUUAGCUAGUUGGUGAGGUAACGGCCCACCAAGGCGAUGAUCGGUAGCCGGCCUGAGAGGGCACACGGCCACACUGGCACUGAAACACGGGCCAGACUCCUACGGGAGGCAGCAGUGGGGAAUCUUGCACAAUGGAGGCAACUCUGAUGCAGCGACGCCGCGUGAGCGAUGAAGCCCUUC
This 377-nucleotide ribosomal RNA is filed under the name uncultured bacterium. Its description in RNAcentral is "bacterial SSU rRNA". It matches the Rfam family "Bacterial small subunit ribosomal RNA", at positions 29 to 419 of the family's 1533-position model. The record is from RNAcentral.